GACGAACGCUGGCGGCGUGCUUAACACAUGCAAGUCGAACGGUAAGGCCCCAGCUUGCUGGGGUACACGAGUGGCGAACGGGUGAGUAACACGUGGGUGACCUGCCCCGCACUUCGGGAUAAGCCUGGGAAACUGGGUCUAAUACCGGAUAGGACCGCACCGUGAGGGUGUGGUGGAAAGUUUUUCGGUGUGGGAUGGGCCCGCGGCCUAUCAGCUUGUUGGUGGGGUAAUGGCCUACCAAGGCGGCGACGGGUAGCCGGCCUGAGAGGGUGGACGGCCACAUUGGGACUGAGACACGGCCCAGACUCCUACGGGAGGCAGCAGUGGGGAAUAUUGCACAAUGGGCGGAAGCCUGAUGCAGCGACGCCGCGUGGGGGAUGACGGCCUUCGGGUUGUAAACUCCUUUCACCAUCGACGAAGGUUUUCUGACGGUAGAUGGAGAAGAAGCACCGGCUAACUACGG
RNAcentral lists this ribosomal RNA (463 nucleotides) under uncultured bacterium. RNAcentral describes it as "partial 16S ribosomal RNA". It matches the Rfam family "Bacterial small subunit ribosomal RNA", at positions 28 to 506 of the family's 1533-position model. The record is from RNAcentral.